UCCCUCAUGGGAUUAGCCUUAGAUUAAUUUUCUACUUGCCUUUAGGAAGACCAGAUUUCGGAGUGAGGUUAGAUUCCCCUGGGCACCCCUGCUUUCCUGGAUGAGUGAUCUGGGUAAGAAAACUGCUGCUCACAGAGAGUCUGUCAAUCAUCCAGCUUCACAGAGAAAAGGACAAGAGAACAAAUAUUCACCGAGCAUCCACAAUAUUUAGACUCCAUGCCCAGUGUGGAGUCCAACGUGGGCCUUGAACUGACAACUCUGACAUCAACAGCUGAGCUGAGAUCAAGAGUCGGAUGCUUCAUCAAUUGACCCACCCAGGCACCCCCAAGUCUAAUAUUCUUACUAUCACAAUUUAUUAAUCCCCAUCAUUAUGAGUACCAGGGAUGCCAGAAGUGGUGAUAAUUUUUUUUUUUUAAGAUUUAUUUGAGGGGCACCCGGGUGGCUCAGUCGUUAAGCGUCUGCC
This is a non-coding RNA of Leptonychotes weddellii (Weddell seal), 463 nucleotides long. Lineage: Eukaryota; Metazoa; Chordata; Mammalia; Carnivora; Phocidae. The record is from RefSeq and is a predicted model, not a curated record.